AACGAACGCUGGCGGCAUGCCUAACACAUGCAAGUCGAACGAAAACUUCGGGUCUUGUGGCGCACGGGUGCGUAACGCGUGGGAACCUUCCCUUAGGUUCGGAAUAACUCUCCGAAAGGGAUGCUAAUACCGGAUAAUGUCUUCGGACCAAAGAUUUAUCGCCUUUGGAUGGGCCCGCGUUGGAUUAGCUAGUUGGUAGGGUAAAAGCCUACCAAGGCGACGAUCCAUAGCUGGUCUGAGAGGAUGAUCAGCCACACUGGGACUGAGACACGGCCCAGACUCCUACGGGAGGCAGCAGUGGGGAAUAUUGGACAAUGGGCGAAAGGCUGAUCCAGCAAUGCCGCGUGAGUGAUGAAGGCCUUAGGGUUGUAAAGCGCUUUUACCCGGGAUGAUAAUGACAGUACCGGGAGAAUAAGCUCCGGCUAACUCCGUG
RNAcentral lists this ribosomal RNA (433 nucleotides) under uncultured bacterium. RNAcentral's name for it is "partial 16S ribosomal RNA". It matches the Rfam family "Bacterial small subunit ribosomal RNA", at positions 29 to 507 of the family's 1533-position model. The record is from RNAcentral.